This 253-nucleotide ribosomal RNA is filed under the name uncultured bacterium. Its description in RNAcentral is "partial 16S ribosomal RNA". It matches the Rfam family "Bacterial small subunit ribosomal RNA", at positions 524 to 776 of the family's 1533-position model. The record is from RNAcentral.
UACGUAGGGUGCAAGCGUUGUCCGGAAUUAUUGGGCGUAAAGAGCUCGUAGGCGGUCUGUCGCGUCGGCUGUGAAAACCCGGGGCUCAACCCCGGGCCUGCAGUCGAUACGGGCAGACUAGAGUGCGGUAGGGGAGACUGGAAUUCCUGGUGUAGCGGUGAAAUGCGCAGAUAUCAGGAGGAACACCAGUGGCGAAGGCGAGUCUCUGGACAUUUCCUGACGCUGAGGCACGAAAGCGUGGGGAGCAAACAGG